Molecule: ribosomal RNA, 253 nt
Filed under: uncultured bacterium
Lineage: Bacteria
Description: partial 16S ribosomal RNA
Rfam family: Bacterial small subunit ribosomal RNA
Source: RNAcentral
UACGUAGGGUGCAAGCGUUAAUCGGAAUUACUGGGCGUAAAGCGUGCGCAGGCGGUUUUGUAAGCCAGAUGUGAAAGCCCCGGGCUCAACCUGGGAACUGCGUUUGGAACUACAAGACUAGAGUGUGUCAGAGGGGGGUGGAAUUCCGCGUGUAGCAGUGAAAUGCGUAGAGAUGCGGAGGAACACCAAUAACAAAAACAGCCCCCUAAAAUAACACUAACGCUCAUGCACGAAAGCGUGGGGAGCAAACAGG